This 292-nucleotide ribosomal RNA is filed under the name uncultured bacterium. RNAcentral describes it as "partial 16S ribosomal RNA". The record is from RNAcentral.
GGACUACUGGGGUAUCUAAUCCGGUUCGCUCCCCACGCUUUCGCGCCUCAGCGUCAGAACAGGUCCAGCCGGCCGCUUUCGCCACUGGUGUUCCUCCCGAUCUCUACGCAUUUCACCACUACACCGGGAAUUCCACCGGCCUCUCCCUGUCUCCAGUUCGCCAGUCUCCAGCGCCCCCUCCCAGGUGAGCCGGGAGAUUUCACACCGGACGGAGCGAACCGCCUGCACGCGCUUUACGCCCAAUAAAUCCGGACAACGCUCGCCACCUACGUAUUACCGCGGCUGCUGGCAC